This 808-nucleotide ribosomal RNA is filed under the name human gut metagenome. RNAcentral's name for it is "bacterial SSU rRNA". It matches the Rfam family "Bacterial small subunit ribosomal RNA", at positions 8 to 809 of the family's 1533-position model. The record is from RNAcentral.
AGAGUUUGAUCCUGGCUCAGGAUGAACGCUAGCGACAGGCUUAACACAUGCAAGUCGAGGGGCAUCAUGAGGUAGCAAUACCUUGAUGGCGACCGGCGCACGGGUGAGUAACGCGUAUGCAACCUGCCCGAUACCGGGGUAUAGCCCAUGGAAACGUGGAUUAACACCCCAUAGUACUUUUAUCCUGCCUGGGAUGGGAGUUAAAUGUUCAAGGUAUCGGAUGGGCAUGCGUCCUAUUAGUUAGUUGGCGGGGUAACAGCCCACCAAGACGAUGAUAGGUAGGGGUUCUGAGAGGAAGGUCCCCCACAUUGGAACUGAGACACGGUCCAAACUCCUACGGGAGGCAGCAGUGAGGAAUAUUGGUCAAUGGACGAGAGUCUGAACCAGCCAAGUCGCGUGAGGGAAGACUGCCCUAUGGGUUGUAAACCUCUUUUAUAAGGGAAGAAUAAGUUCUACGUGUAGAAUGAUGCCUGUACCUUAUGAAUAAGCAUCGGCUAACUCCGUGCCAGCAGCCGCGGUAAUACGGAGGAUGCGAGCGUUAUCCGGAUUUAUUGGGUUUAAAGGGUGCGUAGGCGGUUUAUUAAGUUAGUGGUGAAAUAUUUGCAGCUAAACCGUCAAUUUGCCAUUAAUACUGGUAAACUGGAGUACAGACGAGGUAGGCGGAAUAAGUUAAGUAGCGGUGAAAUGCAUAGAUAUAACUUAGAACUCCGAUAGCGAAGGCAGCUUACCAGACUGUAACUGACGCUGAUGCACGAGAGCGUGGGUAUCGAACAGGAUUAGAUACCCUGGUAGUCCACGCCGUAAACGA